This 384-nucleotide ribosomal RNA is filed under the name uncultured bacterium. Its description in RNAcentral is "bacterial SSU rRNA". It matches the Rfam family "Bacterial small subunit ribosomal RNA", at positions 30 to 415 of the family's 1533-position model. The record is from RNAcentral.
AUUGAACGCUGGCGGCAUGCCUUACACAUGCAAGUCGAACGGCAGCACGGGAGCAAUCCUGGUGGCGAGUGGCGAACGGGUGAGUAAUAUAUCGGAACGUGCCCAGUCGUGGGGGAUAACGUAGCGAAAGCUACGCUAAUACCGCAUACGAUCUAUGGAUGAAAGCGGGGGAUCGCAAGACCUCGCGCGAUUGGAGCGGCCGAUAUCAGAUUAGGUAGUUGGUGAGGUAAAGGCUCACCAAGCCGACGAUCUGUAGCUGGUCUGAGAGGACGACCAGCCACACUGGGACUGAGACACGGCCCAGACUCCUACGGGAGGCAGCAGUGGGGAAUUUUGGACAAUGGCGCAAGCCUGAUCCAGCAAUGCCGCGUGCAGGAUGAAGCC